Molecule: ribosomal RNA, 959 nt
Filed under: Natrialba aegyptia
Lineage: Archaea; Methanobacteriati; Methanobacteriota; Halobacteria; Halobacteriales; Natrialbaceae
Description: bacterial SSU rRNA
Rfam family: Archaeal small subunit ribosomal RNA
Source: RNAcentral
GUCGAUUAGCCAUGCUAGUCGCACGAGUUUAGACUCGUGGCAGAUAGCUCAGUAACACGUGGCCAAACUACCCUAUAGAUCCGGCCAACCUCGGGAAACUGAGGCUAAUCCGGAAUAACGCUUUCAGCCUGGAGUGGCGAGAGCGUGAAACGCUCCGGCGCUAUAGGAUGUGGCUGCGGCCGAUUAGGUAGACGGUGGGGUAACGGCCCACCGUGCCAGUAAUCGGUACGGGUUGUGAGAGCAAGAGCCCGGAGACGGUAUCUGAGACAAGAUACCGGGCCCUACGGGGCGCAGCAGGCGCGAAACCUUUACACUGCACGCGAGUGCGAUAAGGGGACUCCAGGUGCGAGGGCAUAUAGUCCUCGCUUUUCUCGACCGUAGGGAGGUCGAGGAACAAGUGCUGGGCAAGACCGGUGCCAGCCGCCGCGGUAAUACCGGCAGCACAAGUGAUGACCGCUGUUAUUGGGCCUAAAGCGUCCGUAGCUGGCCAGACAAGUUCAUCGGGAAAUCUGUGCGCCUAACGCACAGGCGUCCGGUGGAAACUGCCUGGCUUGGGACCGGAAGACCUGAGGGGUACGUCUGGGGUAGGAGUGAAAUCCCGUAAUCCUGGACGGACCACCGGUGGCGAAAGCGCCUCAGGAAGACGGAUCCGACGGUGAGGGACGAAAGCUCGGGUCACGAACCGGAUUAGAUACCCGGGUAGUCCGAGCUGUAAACGAUGUCUGCUAGGUGUGACACAGGCUACGAGCCUGUGUUGUGCCGUAGGGAAGCCGUGAAGCAGACCGCCUGGGAAGUACGUCCGCAAGGAUGAAACUUAAAGGAAUUGGCGGGGGAGCACUACAACCGGAGGAGCCUGCGGUUUAAUUGGACUCAACGCCGGACAUCUCACCAGCAUCGACAGUGUGCAGUGACAGUCAGUGUGAUGAGCUUACUUGAGCCACUGAGAGGAGUGCAUGGGC